CCUACGGGAGGCAGCAGUGGGGAAUAUUGGACAAUGGGCGGAAGCCUGAUCCAGCAACGCCGCGUGAGGGAUGACGGCCUUCGGGUUGUAAACCUCUUUCAGCACAGACGAAGCGCCCGUUGUGGGUGGUGACGGUAUGUGCAGAAGAAGCACCGGCCAACUACGUGCCAGCAGCCGCGGUAAUACGUAGGGUGCGAGCGUUGUCCGGAAUUAUUGGGCGUAAAGGGCUCGUAGGCGGUUUGUCGCGUCGGGAGUGAAAUCCACUGGCUUAACUGGUGGCUUGCUUUCGAUACGGGCAGACUGGAGGUAUGCAGGGGAGAACGGAAUUCCUGGUGUAGCGGUGAAAUGCGCAGAUAUCAGGAGGAACACCGGUGGCGAAGGCGGUUCUCUGGGCAUGUCCUGACGCUGAGGAGCGAAAGUGUGGGGAGCGAACAGGAUUA
Molecule: ribosomal RNA, 440 nt
Filed under: uncultured bacterium
Lineage: Bacteria
Description: bacterial SSU rRNA
Rfam family: Bacterial small subunit ribosomal RNA
Source: RNAcentral